CCCUAAAAACUAACAUCCUAGGAGUUUUAGCAUCACAGUAGACAGUUCACAUUCUUCAUAGAUGAAAAAAGAAGCAGCAGGACGAAGCUGCAAGAUUUGCCAGAAGAAUGCAUCGCAGAAAUACUAUGCACUCCUGUGGAUGUGUGCAGUUUCUCCCUUCUGAUUUGUCCUCUAACUCUAUGAAGGCUCUCUUUUUCACUCUCUCCGACCGUCCCACCAUCGUCGACCAGGCUACCAAGGUCCAAGAGUUUUGAAUUGGACAAAAAGACUGCGAAGAAGUGUUACAUGUUUUCGGCCAGAGAUCUCAGCAUUGAAUGUAAAUCGGGUAACUGGACACGUACAAGUGCAAGGAUGCAAGAGUCCAGGUUCAAAAAAGUUGCUUGGCUCCCUUCUGAAUCCUUCUUUUCCAUUGGUAGGAUGAUAAACACGGGUAUACAGCUUUUCUUGUGUUCAAGUUGAUCGAAGCCAGCAAAUCAUUUUCUAGUGCCAGAUCUACAAGUGUUACUUACUGCAUAUAUAAAACGUCCUAUGGAGAGAAGGGAUGGGUGGUUGGAGAUUAAGAUUGGGAGCUUCAAUUCAGGCCUAAAAGAAGACCAAGUGCCAUUGAAAGUGAAGUCAAUUAGAGAUAGAUGGACCCCCAGUAGUUUCAUUAUUGAAGGAAUAGAACUUCGGCCUCCAUGUUAGGCCUAGAAAUAAUAUAAGCUUGUUCCUGUAAACCGUUUUUAUUUAAAAAAUAAAUUUUUACUUAUUUUAAUAAAAUAAGUAAUUUCCUGUUUU
Molecule: long non-coding RNA, 777 nt
Organism: Glycine soja
Lineage: Eukaryota; Viridiplantae; Streptophyta; Magnoliopsida; Fabales; Fabaceae
Exons: 3
Source: RefSeq, a predicted model, not a curated record